This is a long non-coding RNA of Callithrix jacchus (white-tufted-ear marmoset), 570 nucleotides long. RefSeq lists it as uncharacterized. NCBI's taxonomy places the organism in Eukaryota, Metazoa, Chordata, Mammalia, Primates, Cebidae. The record is from RefSeq and is a predicted model, not a curated record.
AGCACUCUCACCCCUUCCAGCAAGGGAGGACACAGCAAGAAGGUGCCGUCCAUGGGCCAGAAAGUGGGCCCUCAGCAGACGCUGAAUCUGCCUUAAUAUUGGACCGCGCAGCCUCUAGAAGUGUGAGAAGCAAAUUUCUGUUGUUGUCUCACACUGUUGCCCAGGCUGGAGUGCAGUGGUGCAAUCUCGGCUCACUUCAACCUCCGCCUUCCUGGUUCAAGAGAUUCUCCUGCCUUAGCUUCCCAAGUAGCUGCAACUACAGCUGAGGAAGGAAAUUGAAGCUCAAAAUGGUUGAAUUACGCUACAGCAUCAUCCAGGUUUGGUGGCGUGUGCCUGCAGUCCCAGCUCCUUGGGAGGCCGAAGCUGUGGAGUUUGAAGCUGCAGGCUGCUGUGAGCCGUGAUGGCACCAUGCGCUCCAACCUGGAUGACAGAGCAGGACCUUGUCUCUAAAACAAAACAGAGAAAAGAAUUUGGUUUAUAUGUCCUAAUAUAUUUAAUUAUGCCAGCUUACCUCAUGUGUUCAUUUAUUUCAAUCCGCAAAUCCAAAAUGCUUGAAAAUAUAAAUCCCAG